Molecule: long non-coding RNA, 7694 nt
Organism: Oenanthe melanoleuca
Lineage: Eukaryota; Metazoa; Chordata; Aves; Passeriformes; Muscicapidae
Exons: 3
Source: RefSeq, a predicted model, not a curated record
UUUAAGUACAUUACUUCAUUUUGAAACAUACGCAUUUAAAGACAGAUGAAAAGUUUGGAGUCCAGACCUAUGGAGAAUGUGAUGGGUAGGGAUUUUUGAUAUCACUCCAGGCCAUCUGGCCAAACGGCAGCAAAUAAUUAAAUUUACUGACUUGUCUUGUCUGAGAUAACAUCAUUUCAGGGCCUCAGGACUGUUUGUGUUUCCACUCUCUCAUCCCAUCACUGUGUUUUUAGUUUUUGUGGUGUUUUUUGCUGAUUUUUAUCUGUUGUUAUGACUGUACACAGCCCUUGGCACCCAUAUUCUCCUGCCCCUCUGCUGCUGUAACUUUAUGUUUCUCCUCAGUACAAUCACUCUUUCAUGUGCCCCUUUUCUCUUAGUUUUAGCACACUUACCAGGUUUGUUCAAUGCCAGACGUCUUCAGAGGAAGUCUGGACACAAAGCAAUGUCUGUGUGUGUGAUUUGGUGGAAUCGAUCCACUGUCUCCAGGACCAGACCCUGUACAAAAACAUACUUCCUCCUCCAAAAACACUAAUAAAAAUUAUGACCAAUGAGAAUUAUACAAUUAUUUUCAAGCUUGUUUUGACGAAGCCAUGUUAAUUUGCUCAUCUUCAAAGAGCUUUAGCUGCAUGCAAUAAUGCCACUUAAUCAGAAUGGUAAGUGGGAAUUCCACCCCAUGCUGGACAGCUCAGAUGAAGUCUGGAUGACUCAAGAGCAACUGGCAUUCAGCAGGAACACACUUGCUUCUUAUUUCCUCUGACUUUCACUCAUAUUUUUUGGUGUCUUCCUUCCACAAAAUUUCUCAAAUCAAUCUGUCUGUAUUUCCUUCCCUCCAAAAAGCUUCAGGUAACAGUUUGCUGCCUUCUAAUAUUUGGGUAAUUUUACGGUUUUAUGUUACCAGCUGAAUGGUGUUACACUAUAGUGCUCUCAACUUGUUCUCACUAAGGAAUUUGCCAACAACAACAACUUUUUGUUAUUCUUAAUGUCACACCUUGCUUAUCAGUGCCCAAAGCCAAACAUGAAGAAAAGGUGAUGUAAUUUCCCAUUAAAGUAUCACUGUAUACUAAUAUAAUAUACCAUUCUUAAAAUAUUCUAACAAUUCCUCUAUGUGUGCGUUUUGUUGGCAGUUUUGUUCCUUCUGGAGGAAUUAAUCAUUUUUUCCUGGACCAAACCACUGUGCUUCUGACAUGUACUGUCCCAUUGAGCUGUUUAUCUGCCAAAGUGGAAUCCUGGAUAAAUACAUGGAAACUUCCAGUUCUGCCUGAACAAGACUUAUGCUGACUGAGAGAGUCUGUAUGGAGAAACACAGCUGAGUGGCAGCCAAAGAGAUACAUUACUACCCUUACAAGCUGGGUUUGGAGCAUCCAGUCAGUGCUUCACCAUGGUGGACACAUUCACUGUUUUUGAUGCUUGCUUUUUGAAAACCAGUUUGUGCUUUUCUUCAGUCGCCAGAAGCAAGCGUGCAGCCAUAGCACAGAUGUAAACAACCACAGAGCUCUGCAGAAGAGCAGAGCAGUCAGCCUUGGUGCUGAGCAGCCCCUCCCUGGGGCAGGCACACCACUGCCUGCAGCCAGCGCUGCUAGGUCACCAGCCCAGAGCACCCCUGCAUGCACCUGUCUUGACUGACUGCAAGAUUUGCAACCCACCUUGAUGAAUGCAAACAAAAAUAUCCAUGAUUGAUUAAAUUCUUCAUUCAGCUCUGAUGAUUGGUUACAGCAAGUGAUAGCUGGGUGCUGAAUUCAUUUUUGCCCUUUCAAGUUAGCAACAUGUCUUUUGACACAUUUAAUUUGCUGCAGUUUGAAGUGAUCCUGGAAAUAUCAGCUUCUUUCGCUGCUUUUCAAAUCCUAAACUUCAAUUGCUAAUUCAAGCUUUAAAAACUCGAAGACUAACAGAUGUGUAAGGAAUUUUUUGAAGAAAAAUAUCAAUCAGGAAAAAAAAAAAUCAAUCAGAAACUAUUUGAAGUCUAUCAUGUGAAGUCUAUUGGAAAGAAUUUCAAGUAAAACACAAAUUAACUUUUGCUGUCAGUAUUUAUAGCAACAACACUCCAGGACAUAGAAACCCAAACUGAAAAAUCUCAUUUAUAAAAAUGAAACUAGAUUCCACUGGAGGGGACUGCAAACUAAAUAGCAUGAGUUAAAGGAAAGUCAGGUGGAUUUUGGUGGUAGAUAGCCACCAUGACUUCCAGGUGCUGGGCAGAGCACUCGCUACCACCAGCAUCUUGCCCUGUCCAUGAAACAGAAGAAGGGUAGUGCAAAUUCCUUGUUGGCCUGUUUCUAUUUCCAGACUAGCUCUUCUGCUUUAGAUCCACAUUAUUAAUGGGCUCUCUGGGGAACAGGCAUGCAGAAAUUAAGCUUUGCUAUACCCAGAAGGCCAAAAGCACUGCCAAGAGUCGGUACCUGAUUUAGACUCACGGUGACAAGGCUCAGAUUGAGAUUCAGAGGUGAUGUCCCCUGCCAGAGGCAGAGAUAUCUCUUUCUCAGGGUGGCUUUGUGCUGAGUGGACCAAGCCACUUCUAGCUGGGCCCCAGAAAAAUGUGAAGGUCAGACUGAAGAUGUUCAAGGUCAAGAUAUGCCAAAUAACAAAAUGUCCUUCUUGUGCCGACAGUGAUCUUGCUGUUGUGUUGCAGGCUAGUGAGGUGUAUCUGAGGCUCAUACAUUAAUUUUUUUCUCUGGAAAGUAAAGCAGAUCCUUGAAUCCCCAACAUCCAAGGUAAAUAAAUCCUCUCUUUCUUUUUAACACAGCUGCUUCAAAUGAAAACAAAACAUGCUGUGGUUUUCUUGAUUUCUCUAGCCACUGGCAGACACAAGGAAAGUGCCACACACAUAUUGCUGAAUUUGGUUUUGCCUCACUGGAUUUUUAUGGAUGGUUACCCUCAAAAAACAAACUAUUAAUAGGCCUGUGUCUGAAUGCUCGACCAUGUGAGACUUCAUCUGUUACAUUCAGGCUGUGUUUUGAUAGAUUGUUAUUCCAUUAACUAAAAAUCCUUUGGGCUAUGAAGGAUAUAAAACAGUCCUACAACCACUUGCCCUAAAACUAAUAUUUAAUUACCACAGGGAAAAAUUGAGUAGUCCAUUAGAGGAAUGGGAAAGGAAUUACUUCAUAGACAAAGAAAAUGAAAUAGAUAUGAAUUCUAGCAGUAUAAGCCAAUCUAAAAGUCUUUUGAAUUGUGAUUUGUUCAAGUGAUGCUAACAAUACUACAGAUCAUUUAAAUAGAUUUUGUAACUCUGAUGUUGUUACAGAGAUUAAAUUACACUAAGAUAAUAAUGUAGCUUUAGGGUAAUUUACAUAAAGAAAAAGCUAGACUCCUAAAAUUUCAGUUUUCUGCAUACCCUUCUUAAUGGGAGCAAAUUCCAAAACAAUUUUGAUUUUAGAAGCAAUUUGUGAAGCUGUCCAGUGACCAUUGCUCCUGCUCCAAAUUCCCAGGCAAAAAUUAGGCAGUAAUUUUUAUUUUCACUCAUGCACACAAGCAAAAAUUCUUGCUUAAUCUCUUCUGCCUUUUCUGGUUUAUAGUGCAGGAUAAACCAAUUUAAAUAAAGAGAUUAAUGAUUUUAAAUAACAAGCGAGAAAUUUUGCUUUGAAUAUGAGUUUUUAACUUGCCUUACACAUCUUUAUAAUUUGAUUUGAAGAAAUUUUAGCACUGUUUGUUGGAAAGUUUGCAAUGCAAAUUUCUACAUAAUCUUGAUGCUAAAUGUGGUAUUUUUUUCCUACCUAUAUACCUAUGCACAUUUGUAUAUACACAUCUUGCUUGGAGUACAUGUAUUCCUGUCCUAUUUUUUUUUUACUCUGAUAAUAUUUUAAACCAAAGAAAUCAUUAUUCAAAGCCUCUAAGUAAAAUGCAGAGAGGAGAUGUGUAAAUCUAAGUCUUAAAGUGCUUUUUCAAAAAACCAAACCUUCUCAUAGAUGAUUAUUGCAUACAUAUAUUUUGGAAACAAUGCUUUUUUUUUUUUUUUCCCCUCAAGAUCACGGUUCAAUUCUGCCCUUUAUGUUUGUUGCCUGUGAACAAAGCUAAGACCACCUUCAAAAUUCAUCAGCAUGGGAAGUAACAUUGCAUGAGUUCAAAUGACACAAAAAUGUAAGGAAAGAGCCAGACCUGGUUUUGGCUCUUCAGCAAAGGGAAGUCUCUGGCAGCUCUGAUUUCUGCAGAUUGAGCACGGUCCUGCUGGUGGCUGGGUAUGGUGCUCACAGCAAAGCACUCCCCUUCCUGGCUCCAUGCUCGAGGUAAGACACCAUCAGCUCUGGCAUGAGAGCCUUGCUCUGCUUGGCAGCCAGAGGGUGGUGUUCAAAGCCCAGCAUGUCUCCAGGACAAAAUACCUGCUCUGGUAUCUUCCACUAGGACGGGCUUCCCCUUGGAGUAAUCCAGCAUUUACUGUGGGAUUUGCAUGAGGAACCUGAAAAGACAUUUAAAGGCUGCCACUCUCGCCCACACCUUGAAAUACCCACUUUUGUAUGCUCCUUGAAAGUACCACAUGAAAGCAAGGCCUUUAGAUUUGCAGGUUUUUUAACCUCUAAGCAAAGUAAGGAUCUGUUCCUUCUCUUCCCCCAGCUGCCAUCAGAAUAACAGGCCCCACAGAAUUAGUAAAUCAAAGGUUUCAGUCUGAAUGCAUCACAGCUGUGGAAAACAUAUACUUCAGUUUUCAGGGCUGAUGACUUCCAGCUCUAUCCAAAAUAAUUUCCCCUGUAAUUCCCAAUCAAGACUGCUUCCCAACACCAACUUUAGCAGGACACAUCCCAAAAACUGAACUUAGAUGACACAGAAACAUGUCUUGGUGAAUAUCUGAAUGCUCUCAGUGUGCCCUCAAAGAGCCAGGUGGGCACAGUGUGCAGGAGUCAGUAGUACAGCACAAGUCGGGCAGGAAGGGACAAGGCCUCCUGCCUUUCAGCAUCCUUAAAUGCCCUAGGAUGUCCCUGCCUGUCAAAGAUUUCUCCUCUUGCUGUAGCUGGAAUGGUUAUGAGACGGUCUCCUGAAGCUCCCUUCCCCUUUCCAACAUGUCCUGGGCAGUUUCAGCUGAGAGGGCAGAGGUGCAGCCUGGGCAGCAGCGAGGCAGGAUGCAGUGCCCCAUGGAGGGCAGGGCACCGUGCCAACGCACGGGGCUGAGCUGAGCGUGCUGGGAGCACAGCAAAAGCCUGCAGGCAGCUACAGCAAAGCCUGCUCAGGACCGUGCUCAGUGGAAAGCUAUUGAUACAGACACAAUUUCAAAAUAAAAGUGGGUUUCAGCACUCUGCUGCUCCUGGAAGAGGUACCUGUCUCCUUAAUGAGCCUAUUCUCAUACCAGAAAUUUGUUUAUUUCAAAACUUAGCUUUAGUGCAAGGGGGAUAUUUCUAUCAGUGCUUCCGUUGCACUUGGUUGAAGACACUGCUGCAACAUUUGGCCAGCUUGACAUUUAAAUGUCAUUUACACCAGAAAGCAACUGAGCCUGAAUACUGAGGCAGAUAUCAUGAGCGAAGGUGAGCUUCCACAACUGAAUGAGGUUGCUGAUAAAAAGACUGAAUUGCAGAAGCAUUUGCAGAAUGCCAAUGGAAGACCACUGAUUCUUCUGCAUAUGCUUUAUUUCCUGUAUGUGCCUUGUGCAAUUUACCUUGGAGGAGCAAUGCUGCAAGAGAUGUUACCAAAAUUUUCAUUUAAAAUCUAGCAUUUGUGGUCCCUACUGGUUAAAGCAGGAUAAGCAGGUUUCUGUCCCCUCCUGAAAUGGGAUUGAUGAUAUUUUCUAAACCAAGCUUCUGAGUCCUAGACUUGCUUCAGCCCAGCAGGCCAGGGGGACAUGCUGACAUCCUCUCUUUCUGUGUAGCAUUGCUGCACACAAAGUUGUUCAAAACUGUUUGCUUCCUCAAUGUUUCUGUUCCAGAUGACAGCAGGACAAACAGACUGAGAUCUCUUCUUUUGACAUGGAUUGUGUAGGAAGAGUUAUUGCCUAUCCCCUAAGCACAGAAUUUCAUUCCCAAACGUACCUCCUGACGUGUGUUUAGGAUGCAGUCCAAAAAUCCACAGGACAAAGAAGGAAGAGUAAUGAAAUUGGUAAAAAAACGCAUUAAAGAGAAAUAGAGGCAAAAAAAAAAUAAAGUUAAUUACUCUACCUGUGUUUGAGCCCACAGGGUGUGUAUAGAUGAGUGUUAGUGAUGUAGCUGUCCAUUGGUGCUGGGGUAAACUUUGUUCUUAAGGCCAAAUAAUCUAUCAAGAUAAAAAUGUUAAACAAGUCCUUUCCACUUAUGCUGCUCAGUAUGGCUCAAAUUGCUUUUCAGCUGUGCCCAGUGCUUUUGCUGACUUAAAGUAAAUUAAACACCAUCCUUUUCUAAUUAGGUAAGUUAGGAGAUGUUGGUGCUACUUCCUACUAAUUUAAAGACUAUAACUAAUUUAAAGAAAUUAAAGCAAAAAACCCCACCUUUAAACAAUAAAUUAAUCCAGAAUUUGAUUUAAUAAGGAAGGAAGCAACUGAGGGUUAAGUAACUCAGUCAGGUGGGCAUGCAAAGGAAAAUCAGCCAGUGUAAAGCGAGUAGUGUACCCUCUGUGGGGGUUAUUGGGGAUCAAAGGUUUUUUCUUCUUAACAGAUAAUUGCAAGCAUGUAAUACAUCCAAUCCCCUUCUCAGUCAUCUUUAAUAACCAUUUCUGUAAGUCAUUACACUGAGUGUAACUGUCCAGGUGCUGGCAGCCUCUGUGGAGAGAGGCCAGGGCUGCCCUGUGCUGGAUGCAGCCAAGGCAGCACAGGGCACGGCUCAGUCCGGCUGCCAAAUGGGGGCACCUCUGGGAAAGAGGAUCUGAGGUGGGGCAAAAAAUAUUGCACAGGCAGAGGAUGAGGGGCGAAGAAGUGGGCAGCAGUCACCUGAACACCAAGCUGAAAGCAGGAGGAGGGUGAGGAGGUGCUGCAGAUCUGAGAUGAGCUGAGAUUCCUGGCAGCCCCAGGAGGAACCCACACCAGCAAGCAGGCAUUUCACAACAGGAAUCUCAGCCUGUGGAAAACCCAUACUGGGUUUAUCCAUAAGGACUGCAGCUCAUGAAGAGGAUUCAGGCUGAAGCAGGGGGCAGGAACAGCAGAGCCCACAACAGCUGUUACAGAUUGACCACCAUUUCUGAGGAGGAGGCAGAAAAGUCAGGAGUGAAGGUGUGAAGUAGAGGAAAGGGAGGGUAGUAUUUUAUAGUUUUUGACUUUGUUUCUCACUAUGCAAUUUUAAUUGGCAAUAAAUUAUAGUCUCUUUUGCGUUUGAUGGUAACUGGCAAGCAUUCUUCCCAUCUUUCUCAACUAAUUAAGUUUCUCUUUUCUUCUUCUACCAGCUGAGAUGCUGGGGUGAAUGAGAGGCUGGGUGGGCACACCCCCCAUCAGUUAUCCAGAGUAGAGCAUCAGGUACAGGAAGCCUUGUGGAGAGUGCAAGCUUUGCUAAAACACAUCAGCAGACUGGAAUAAAAGUCACCAUUAGCAAGAUACAGAAAAAAGCCACAGCCCCAAACAGCUCUCUUUCAAACGUGAUUCGCCAGCUUCAUAAUUUUUGAAACUGGAUUCUAGCACAUUUUACUUCUUUGCCUCCUAAAAAGGUGUGCAAUAUUGAACUUUCAAAGACCUUUAAAAAUCCCACCACAAGAGAGCUAACAGUCCAUCUCAAACCCUUAUGAGAACAUCUUGUAAUGAACCUGCACAGCAAAAGAGAGGUUUGUGACAGAGGGCCCUCUUCUUAUGGGUAAGUUCCCUUAUGGGUGAGAUAUCAUUUGAU